AUAAAACUCCUCCCGACCUGCUCUGUUCCAUGUGCCCCCUCUGCCACUUUAACACCUUUGUCCCUUUCCUUGAAGGUGUCACAUCUUCUGUCCCCAGACUCAGGAAGUCGGUCCUUGUUUUACCUGAAUCCUCUGAAUAGACUUCAGGGAAAGGAGAAGGUCAAGGGAAAAGUUUCAACAUGGGAGAGUAUGGUGUCAAGAUAACAGUCCUAUCAUUCGUCGUUGCAGAAGAACAGCCAUGGGGCUUGCCAAGAAACUAAGCAUAUCACCGGUGCAGUGAAGUCCCCGGCCAGCGGUCAGCAUGGCGAAUGAAGAAUGGAAGACUGCUAUAAAGCAAAAGAAUAGACAGCUGUGGGCUCCAAAAACUGAAUAUUCAGUCAUUCAAAAAAGGCUUUGAAAUCACUCUGCCGGAGUCUUGUGUAUAAUAAUUAAGCUCUGAACAAGUGUCUUUUAUGAUAUCCUACCCUACGCUGUGGGCCCAUGACAUUUGGCCCUGUACAAUAAAAUAUAGAAAUAGUGC
This is a long non-coding RNA of Fukomys damarensis (Damara mole-rat), 520 nucleotides long. RefSeq lists it as uncharacterized. The record is from RefSeq and is a predicted model, not a curated record. Lineage: Eukaryota; Metazoa; Chordata; Mammalia; Rodentia; Bathyergidae. The transcript has 4 exons.